Molecule: long non-coding RNA, 1339 nt
Organism: Anneissia japonica
Lineage: Eukaryota; Metazoa; Echinodermata; Crinoidea; Comatulida; Comatulidae
Exons: 3
Source: RefSeq, a predicted model, not a curated record
CGUUCAGAUAAUUUGAAACAACCGCGUUAUAUUCCCGACUGUAAGUGAUUUGUGAUUGGUCAAUCAAAUUGCACUUUGACACGAUAAUCGCCGACGACAAGUAAACAAACAAGAUGCCGAACGGUUGUUGUGUAUUGGGCUUCAAUAGAACGCAAAUAAGUCACCCAAAAGUAUCGUUUUUCCUCUUUCCCAAGAAAUAUAAAAAUAUAAGAAACUUUUAAUAAGUGGGUAGAAUAAAGGACAACGAGGAAGAAGAUGUUGAGGAAAUGCCAUCUCAGACCAAAAAAGAAAAACAACGAAAUCUAUAUACCGACGAAAACGGGAGGUUGAAAGUAACCUACAUAGCAGCUUUGCAAACCAGGGAGGAGAUCUUGAGUACUCUUUGUGGUUCUCUCUUGCCAAAAAAGACUGGGUAGCUGGAAAACAUCUUGUCAAGUCUACUACAUUCGAAUACGCUGCGAACAUAAUUGAAAUGGCUCUGUACAUGGCAAAAAGUAAUAUGAAAGAGUUUUUUACACUGCUGAAAUAAUGUGCGAUCCGGGAACAAUUGCUGGGAAAUUACCGAAACCAGACAAAAAUUAGUUCGUGUCCAGGUUAUUCAGCUGAUUCAACAGAAAUUAAACACUGUAUAGCCAUACAGUAACAUGACCAUGUUACACUUUUUUUUAUAAGAGCCAUUCAAAUUAUGCCCAGGCUCACUGUUAUUAUUUUUUGCUAAUUCCAGCAUUGCUCUAUUUCCAUUUACAGAAAAUUGUUAUUGUACAGCAGUAUAUUACUGUGCUAUAAACGUUAUAAGAUCGUUAUCGUUGAAGUAUAAACAGGCCUUUAUCCUCAACCUGGGCUUCAAUAUUUGGAAAAGCUUUUGGUUUGUACCUGAUUGUACUUUAAACAUUUCUUAUGAAGUAGUUCUUGUUAUCUUGCAUAGUAAAAUACCUACUACAGGUCUUGUGACAUGUUUCCAAACUACAUCUUCCACGUUGUAUUAGCAAAUCCUACCCACUUAUUAAAUGUUUCUAUAUCUUUUUUGGAAAGAGAACUAAAGAUAGUUUCUGGUGACUAAAUUGCAUUCUGAUGUGUUGAAUUUGUGUAGACAAAAAUCAUGGAAAAUAAUUUUAUAUAACCAAUUAUGUCAUUUACUAAGAUAAUUCAUAUAUAAGGGUUUUUUGAAAUGAUAAUACUGUUAGUGCAAUAAACAAGCAAUUACCAUUAAUCAUUUUUUAACAAGUUAAAUUGGAUAACAAUUAUAUUUAUUAUUACAUGUACUAAUCUUUACAUUUAAUGAUAAAGCAUGCUUUAGCAUGAAUACUGCAAUCAUAAUCUAACUGUAAAUUAGUGGAAA